GGGUUGUGAGGUUAAGCGACUAAGCGUACACGGUGGAUGCCCUGGCAGUCAGAGGCGAUGAAGGACGUGCUAAUCUGCGAUAAGCGUCGGUAAGGUGAUAUGAACCGUUAUAACCGGCGAUUUCCGAAUGGGGAAACCCAGUGUGAUUCGUCACACUAUCAUUAACUGAAUCCAUAGGUUAAUGAGGCGAACCGGGGGAACUGAAACAUCUAAGUACCCCGAGGAAAAGAAAUCAACCGAGAUUCCCCCAGUAGCGGCGAGCGAACGGGGAGCAGCCCAGAGCCUGAAUCAGUGUGUGUGUUAGUGGAAGCGUCUGGAAAGGCGCGCGAUACAGGGUGACAGCCCCGUACACAAAAAUGCACAUGCUGUGAGCUCGAUGAGUAGGGCGGGACACGUGGUAUCCUGUCUGAAUAUGGGGGGACCAUCCUCCAAGGCUAAAUACUCCUGACUGACCGAUAGUGAACCAGUACCGUGAGGGAAAGGCGAAAAGAACCCCGGCGAGGGGAGUGAAAAAGAACCUGAAACCGUGUACGUACAAGCAGUGGGAGCACAGAGCAAUCUGUGUGACUGCGUACCUUUUGUAUAAUGGGUCAGCGACUUAUAUUCUGUAGCAAGGUUAACCGAAUAGGGGAGCCGAAGGGAAACCGAGUCUUAACUGGGCGUUAAGUUGCAGGGUAUAGACCCGAAACCCGGUGAUCUAGCCAUGGGCAGGUUGAAGGUUGGGUAACACUAACUGGAGGACCGAACCGACUAAUGUUGAAAAAUUAGCGGAUGACUUGUGGCUGGGGGUGAAAGGCCAAUCAAACCGGGAGAUAGCUGGUUCUCCCCGAAAGCUAUUUAGGUAGCGCCUCGUGAAUUCAUCUCCGGGGGUAGAGCACUGUUUCGGCAAGGGGGUCAUCCCGACUUACCAACCCGAUGCAAACUACGAAUACCGGAGAAUGUUAUCACGGGAGACACACGGCGGGUGCUAACGUCCGUCGUGAAGAGGGAAACAACCCAGACCGCCAGCUAAGGUCCCAAAGUCAUGGUUAAGUGGGAAACGAUGUGGGAAGGCCCAGACAGCCAGGAUGUUGGCUUAGAAGCAGCCAUCAUUUAAAGAAAGCGUAAUAGCUCACUGGUCGAGUCGGCCUGCGCGGAAGAUGUAACGGGGCUAAACCAUGCACCGAAGCUGCGGCAGCGACGCUUAUGCGUUGUUGGGUAGGGGAGCGUUCUGUAAGCCUGCGAAGGUGUGCUGUGAGGCAUGCUGGAGGUAUCAGAAGUGCGAAUGCUGACAUAAGUAACGAUAAAGCGGGUGAAAAGCCCGCUCGCCGGAAGACCAAGGGUUCCUGUCCAACGUUAAUCGGGGCAGGGUGAGUCGACCCCUAAGGCGAGGCCGAAAGGCGUAGUCGAUGGGAAACAGGUUAAUAUUCCUGUACUUGGUGUUACUGCGAAGGGGGGACGGAGAAGGCUAUGUUGGCCGGGCGACGGUUGUCCCGGUUUAAGCGUGUAGGCUGGUUUUCCAGGCAAAUCCGGAAAAUCAAGGCUGAGGCGUGAUGACGAGGCACUACGGUGCUGAAGCAACAAAUGCCCUGCUUCCAGGAAAAGCCUCUAAGCAUCAGGUAACAUCAAAUCGUACCCCAAACCGACACAGGUGGUCAGGUAGAGAAUACCAAGGCGCUUGAGAGAACUCGGGUGAAGGAACUAGGCAAAAUGGUGCCGUAACUUCGGGAGAAGGCACGCUGAUAUGUAGGUGAAGCGACUUGCUCGUGGAGCUGAAAUCAGUCGAAGAUACCAGCUGGCUGCAACUGUUUAUUAAAAACACAGCACUGUGCAAACACGAAAGUGGACGUAUACGGUGUGACGCCUGCCCGGUGCCGGAAGGUUAAUUGAUGGGGUUAGCGCAAGCGAAGCUCUUGAUCGAAGCCCCGGUAAACGGCGGCCGUAACUAUAACGGUCCUAAGGUAGCGAAAUUCCUUGUCGGGUAAGUUCCGACCUGCACGAAUGGCGUAAUGAUGGCCAGGCUGUCUCCACCCGAGACUCAGUGAAAUUGAACUCGCUGUGAAGAUGCAGUGUACCCGCGGCAAGACGGAAAGACCCCGUGAACCUUUACUAUAGCUUGACACUGAACAUUGAGCCUUGAUGUGUAGGAUAGGUGGGAGGCUUUGAAGUGUGGACGCCAGUCUGCAUGGAGCCGACCUUGAAAUACCACCCUUUAAUGUUUGAUGUUCUAACGUUGACCCGUAAUCCGGGUUUCGGACAGUGUCUGGUGGGUAGUUUGACUGGGGCGGUCUCCUCCUAAAGAGUAACGGAGGAGCACGAAGGUUGGCUAAUCCUGGUCGGACAUCAGGAGGUUAGUGCAAUGGCAUAAGCCAGCUUGACUGCGAGCGUGACGGCGCGAGCAGGUGCGAAAGCAGGUCAUAGUGAUCCGGUGGUUCUGAAUGGAAGGGCCAUCGCUCAACGGAUAAAAGGUACUCCGGGGAUAACAGGCUGAUACCGCCCAAGAGUUCAUAUCGACGGCGGUGUUUGGCACCUCGAUGUCGGCUCAUCACAUCCUGGGGCUGAAGUAGGUCCCAAGGGUAUGGCUGUUCGCCAUUUAAAGUGGUACGCGAGCUGGGUUUAGAACGUCGUGAGACAGUUCGGUCCCUAUCUGCCGUGGGCGCUGGAGAACUGAGGGGGGCUGCUCCUAGUACGAGAGGACCGGAGUGGACGCAUCACUGGUGUUCGGGUUGUCAUGCCAAUGGCACUGCCCGGUAGCUAAAUGCGGAAGAGAUAAGUGCUGAAAGCAUCUAAGCACGAAACUUGCCCCGAGAUGAGUUCUCCCUGACUCCUUGAGAGUCCUGAAGGAACGUUGAAGACGACGACGUUGAUAGGCCGGGUGUGUAAGCGCAGCGAUGCGUUGAGCUAACCGGUACUAAUGAACCGUGAGGCUUAACCUUACAACGCCGAAG
This 2927-nucleotide ribosomal RNA is filed under the name Escherichia coli. RNAcentral's name for it is "23S ribosomal RNA". It matches the Rfam family "Bacterial large subunit ribosomal RNA". Lineage: Bacteria; Pseudomonadati; Pseudomonadota; Gammaproteobacteria; Enterobacterales; Enterobacteriaceae. The record is from RNAcentral.